RNAcentral lists this ribosomal RNA (375 nucleotides) under uncultured bacterium. Its description in RNAcentral is "bacterial SSU rRNA". It matches the Rfam family "Bacterial small subunit ribosomal RNA", at positions 524 to 898 of the family's 1533-position model. The record is from RNAcentral.
UACGGAGGGUGCGAGCGUUGUUCGGAAUUAUUGGGCGUAAAGGGCGCGUAGGCGGUUGUGUAAGUCAGAUGUGAAAUACUCCGGCUUAACCGGGGAACUGCGUUUGAAACUACACAGCUAGAGUACAGGAGAGGGAAAUGGAAUUCCCGGUGUAGAGGUGAAAUUCGUAGAUAUCGGGAGGAACACCAGUGGCGAAGGCGAUUUUCUGGCCUGAUACUGACGCUGAGGCGCGAAAGCGUGGGGAGCAAACAGGAUUAGAUACCCUGGUAGUCCACGCUGUAAACUGUGAACACUAGGUGUGGGAGGUGUAAUACCUUCUGUGCCGUAGCUAACGCGUUAAGUGUUCCGCCUGGGAAGUACGGCCGCAAGGUUGAA